Molecule: long non-coding RNA, 1298 nt
Filed under: Cyanistes caeruleus (blue tit)
Lineage: Eukaryota; Metazoa; Chordata; Aves; Passeriformes; Paridae
Description: lncRNA (ENSCCEG00000010199.1)
Source: RNAcentral
CCCAUGAAAGUGCCAAAAUGCAGGCAGAAAAGACACGCCAGGGUAAUUUUAUUUUCCAAGCCACCUGUGAGCUCCUUGGAGAGCGUGAGCUGUUCCCUGGUCACAGCUGCUAGAUAAAUCGGUGUGGUUAAUGCUGAGGGGAAGUUAUCCUGGAGAUCAAGAAGCUCCCACCACGCCAGCUCUGUUUGCUGUGGAUGGCAGGCCUGAACACCAGCCAGCUCCCAGCUUCCUCACUGGCUAGGCCGAGCAGAAUCCGUGCCUUUUUUAACCUGGCUUAAAAAAAAAAAAAAAAAAAAAAAAAAAAAAAAAAAAAAAAAAGUAAAACAAAAAUCAGGAGUUUCAGACCUUUGCCUGCUUUGCAUGACGUGCUGAAGCAGAGGUGGAGCUGUCUUUAGCCCAGCACCAGGCAGGCAGUGGAGAUGGCUUUCCACCACCUGAAGGGCACAGGAAACAGGGAGGAGGUGGCAGUAGCUUGCUGCUGUGGGAAAAGCAAGGAAGAAAAGAUACAUCCCCAAAUCUUUACCUGCAUUAGCUGUCCAGGUUUGCACUCCUCCAGCUCUGUGCUAUACCCCAGAGCUCAGUGGAAAACAUCUUUCUGUCCACACGUGGAGAGCUGAGCCAUGGUGAAACCAGUAAAACCAGUAAGUCACUGUAAUCUAACCCAGGCUGGGCUAACAGGACUGAGAAACACUUCUCUAGAUUAAAACCACUCCAGAGCAGCACAUUUCUCUUUGCUCAGGGGUGUGAAAGGGUUCAUCCUGGUGCUACUGUGACAUUGGUUUGGACCUUCAGGUAGGGCUGAUAUAGAAAUAAUAGGUGGUUUUUAUUCUAGUUCUGUCCUGUUCAAGCAGUUAGGAUAUUGAGGGGAAAGAAACAACCAAAACACCUUGAAAACAGAACAAAAACCAAAACAAAAAUACAAAAAAACAAACAUCAAACCAACAAAAAAACCCACAAAAAAAAAUCAAAAAAAAGCCCCCAAAAAACUCCAAAAAACCCCCCCCAAAAAAAUCACACACUGAAAAAAAACCCCAAACAACCCAAGCAAAACAAAACAACAAAAAAACAACAGAAACAAAAAUCCAACCAAACAGAACCCACCAAACAAACAAACAAAAAACAAACUAAAUUUGGAGAACUAUGCUGAUGUAAAGCAAGGAUAAAACUACUCAUCCUUCCUGCAGAGCAGCUCCCUAUAUCUUUUUGGAAAAAUGUGUUUCCUUUCUGCUACGCUCCUAUUACAAGUAUUCCUUGCUAAUUUCUGUUCCAGCAAUAAAAGAAUAAAAAUUUAGAAUGCA